CCUAACACAUGCAAGUCGAAACGCAGUAGCAAUACUGAGUGGCAAACGGGUGAGUAUAAUGUGGGAAUCUGCCUUUUGGUUCGGAACAACACGGGGGAAACCUGUGCUAAUACCGGAUAAGUCCUUACGGAGAAAGUUUUUAAAUGCCAAAAGAUGAGCCCGCAGUUUGAUUAGCUAGUUUGGUGAGGUAAAAGCUCACCAAGGCGAUAAUCAAUAGCUGAUUUUGAGAGGAUGAUCAGCCACACUGGGGACUGAGAUACGGCCCCAGACUCC
RNAcentral lists this ribosomal RNA (273 nucleotides) under uncultured bacterium. RNAcentral's name for it is "partial 16S ribosomal RNA". It matches the Rfam family "Bacterial small subunit ribosomal RNA", at positions 47 to 339 of the family's 1533-position model. The record is from RNAcentral.